This 270-nucleotide ribosomal RNA is filed under the name uncultured prokaryote. Its description in RNAcentral is "partial 16S ribosomal RNA". It matches the Rfam family "Bacterial small subunit ribosomal RNA", at positions 524 to 794 of the family's 1533-position model. The record is from RNAcentral.
UACGUAGGGGCAAGCGUUGUCCGGAAUUAUUGGGCGUAAAGGGCGCGUAGGCGGGACCUUAAGUCAGGUGUGAAAACUGCAGGCUUAACCUGUAGAUUGCAUCUGAUACUGGGGUUCUUGAGUGCAGGAGAGGACAGUGGAAUUCCUAGUGUAGCGGUGAAAUGCGUAGAUAUUAGGAGGAACACCAGUGGCGAAGGCGGCUGUCUGGACUGUAACUGACGCUGAGGCGCGAAAGCGUGGGGAGCAAACAGGAUUAGAUACCCCCGUAGU